This 433-nucleotide ribosomal RNA is filed under the name uncultured bacterium. Its description in RNAcentral is "partial 16S ribosomal RNA". It matches the Rfam family "Bacterial small subunit ribosomal RNA", at positions 29 to 507 of the family's 1533-position model. The record is from RNAcentral.
AACGAACGCUGGCGGCAUGCCUAACACAUGCAAGUCGAACGAGACCUUCGGGUCUAGUUGCGCACGGGUGCGUAACGCGUGGGAACCUGCCCUUAGGGUCGGAAUAACUCCCCGAAAGGGGUGCUAAUAGCGGAUAAUGUCUUCGGACCAAAGAUUUAUCGCCUUUGGAUGGGCCCGCGUUGGAUUAGCUAGUUGGUAGGGUAAAAGCCUACCAAGGCGACGAUCCAUAGCUGGUCUGAGAGGAUGAUCAGCCACACUGGGACUGAGACACGGCCGAGACUCCUACGGGAGGCAGCAGUGGGGAAUAUUGGACAAUGGGCGAAAGCCUGAUCCAGCAAUGCCGCGUGAGUGAUGAAGGCCUUAGGGUUGUAAAGCUCUUUUACCCGGGAUGAUAAUGACAGUACCGGGAGAAUAAGCUCCGGCUAACUCCGUG